CCGCCAGUAAUCAUAUGCUUGUCUCAAAGAUUAAGCCAUGCAUGUCUAAGUACAUGCCGAAAUAAGGCGAAACCGCGAAUGGCUCAUUAAAUCAGUUAUGGUUCCUUAGAUCGUUUCUUCCUACUUGGAUAACUGUGGCAAUUCUAGAGCUAAUACAUGCAGUGAGCCUGGAGCCCUUUGGGUAACGGGUGCUUUUAUUAGACCAAGAUCGAUCGGGUUUCGGCCCGUAUUGUGUGGUGACUCUGGAUAACUUUGUGCUGAUCGCAUGGCCACGAGCCGGCGACGUUUCUUUCAAGUGUCUGCCUUAUCAACUUUCGAUGGUAGGUUACUUGCUUACCAUGGUUGUUACGGGUAACGGAGAAUCAGGGUUCGAUUCCGGAGAGGGAGCCUGAGAAACGGCUACCACAUCCAAGGAAGGCAGCAGGCGCGCAAAUUACCCACUCCCGGCACGGGGAGGUAGUGACGAAAAAUAACAAUACGGGACUCUUUUGAGGCCCCGUAAUUGAAAUGAGUACACUCUAAAUCCUUUAACGAGGAUCAAUUGGAGGGCAAGUCUGGUGCCAGCAGCCGCGGUAAUUCCAGCUCCAAUAGCGUAUACUAAAGCUGCUGCGGUUAAAAAG
This 620-nucleotide ribosomal RNA is filed under the name Rhipicephalus sanguineus (brown dog tick). RNAcentral describes it as "SSU rRNA". It matches the Rfam family "Eukaryotic small subunit ribosomal RNA", at positions 14 to 626 of the family's 1831-position model. Lineage: Eukaryota; Metazoa; Arthropoda; Arachnida; Ixodida; Ixodidae. The record is from RNAcentral.